AUGUGCAUUUCCUGUUCUGGAGACAAAAGCAACCUAGUUCCAUUCAGGCCUGGAGUCGCUGUGUGUCUUGGGGUUGCCAUGAAUUCUGCUGAGGCCAAAUUACCACGGCAUAAAAACGAAAGACUUCCCAGGGCCUUCUCUUUACAUAAAUAUCUGCGUUUUCCUGACUCUGGAGUAGUCACCUCAGGCCCACAGUCAGCCUCCUGUCCCCGUCAAGCCCUCUGUGGAAGACCUCAGCCGCUGUGUCCCUGCAGCUGCAGAGGUUCCGGUGGGAAACGCCCCAGUGCCUCCCGCGGGAGCGCCAGCAGAGCCUCCCUCCUGCUCAGGGCAGUGGGCCAAGCUGUCCAGGCAGAGCAGGAGGAAGCCAGCGCUUCGUGGCCGUGGGGUCGUUUACCCCCUUGCUGCAGUGCAGGGAGCGUCCUGGCUCUCCCCGCCGGCCGGCCUUGCCGUCUUCUCCGGACACAGGACACAGGAGCCCUGCUCGGCCGGGUCGCGGUGACCAAGCCCCUCGGUUCUCCCUGGCCACCAUCUAUCCUGGUCCUGGGAAGGCCCUUGCUCCCUAAGGCGCUUUCCCCCCUGCAGGACCCACUGGAAGCCCGAGCUCCCCGGAGGACCUUCUCCCCAGCGUCUCUCUCCCCGCGCGGCCGCCGCUGCCUCCCCCGACCCACGGCAGCAGCCCCCUUCACGCGUGGCUGUGCCCCUCUGUGCUCCGGGGCAGUGGGAGUCAGGCAGGAGGUGCAGGGCGUGUGUCUGUGUGUGUGUGUGUGCGGUGGGUGGGUGGGAAUGCCCAGCCCUGCCCCCUCGCCCCCGCAGCAGGGUGCAGCUUUGGACCACGGCCUCAGCUUCGCGCAACCGCGGCCUCAGCGUGGGUGGGUCAGGGCGCCCGAGGGGACGGGCCACUCACACCCGGGGCCUGGCCCGGAGCCCGGCGGCGCAAAGAUGGCCGGGCGCUCCUGGUGGCUCCCAGGCCUGCGGAGGCGGAGCCCGCCCGGCCCACCGGCCCUGUGUCCUCUCGCUAGCUCCUCGGCGCUCGCUCGCUCGGGGGACCGCGCGAUCAAUAGCCCCGGA
Molecule: long non-coding RNA, 1068 nt
Filed under: Oryctolagus cuniculus (rabbit)
Lineage: Eukaryota; Metazoa; Chordata; Mammalia; Lagomorpha; Leporidae
Description: lncRNA (ENSOCUG00000033050.1)
Source: RNAcentral